RNAcentral lists this ribosomal RNA (704 nucleotides) under uncultured bacterium. Its description in RNAcentral is "bacterial SSU rRNA". It matches the Rfam family "Bacterial small subunit ribosomal RNA", at positions 8 to 707 of the family's 1533-position model. The record is from RNAcentral.
AGAGUUUGAUCCUGGCUCAGAUUGAACGCUGGCGGUAGGCUUAACACAUGCAAGUCGUGCGAGAAAGUAUCUUCGGAUAUGAGUAGAGCGGCGGACGGGUGAGUAACGCGUAGGAAUCUACCUAGUAGAAGGGGAUAGCCCGGGGAAACCCGGAUUAAUACCGUAUACCUCCUUCGGGAGAAAGAAGGCCUCUCUUUGAAGCUUUCGCUAUUAGAUGAGCCUGCGUAAGAUUAGCUUGUUGGUGAGGUAAAGGCUCACCAAGGCGACGAUCUUUAGCUGGUCUGAGAGGACGAUCAGCCACAUUGGGACUGAGACACGGCCCAGACUCCUACGGGAGGCAGCAGUGGGGAAUAUUGGACAAUGGGCGCAAGCCUGAUCCAGCCAUACCGCGUGUGUGAAGAAGGCCUUCGGGUUGUAAAGCACUUUAAGCAGGGAGAAAAAGUUAUAAGUUAAUACCUUAUAACCUUGAUGUUACCUGCAGAAUAAGCACCGGCUAAUUCCGUGCCAGCAGCCGCGGUAAUACGGAAGGUGCAAGCGUUAAUCGGAAUUACUGGGCGUAAAGCGCGCGUAGGUGGUUUGUUAAGUUGGAUGUGAAAGCCCUGGGCUCAACCUAGGAACUGCAUCCAAAACUAACUCACUAGAGUACGAUAGAGGGAGGUAGAAUUCAUAGUGUAGCGGUGGAAUGCGUAGAUAUUAUGAAGAAU